RNAcentral lists this ribosomal RNA (492 nucleotides) under uncultured bacterium. RNAcentral's name for it is "partial 16S ribosomal RNA". It matches the Rfam family "Bacterial small subunit ribosomal RNA", at positions 29 to 507 of the family's 1533-position model. The record is from RNAcentral.
AGUGAACGCUGGCGGUAGGCCUAACACAUGCAAGUCGAACGGCAGCACAGUAAGAGCUUGCUCUUACGGGUGGCGAGUGGCGGACGGGUGAGGAAUACAUCGGAAUCUACUUUUUCGUGGGGGAUAACGUAGGGAAACUUACGCUAAUACCGCAUACGACCUACGGGUGAAAGCAGGGGAUCUUCGGACCUUGCGCGAAUGAAUGAGCCGAUGUCGGAUUAGCUAGUUGGCGGGGUAACGGCCCACCAAGGCGACGGUCCGUAGCUGGUCUGAGAGGAUGAUCCGCCACACUGGAACUGAGCCACGGUCCAGGCUCCUACGGGAGGCCGCAGUGCGGAAUAUUGGACAAUGGGCGGAAUCCUGAUCCAGCCAUACCGCGUGGGUGAAGAAGGCCUUCGGGUUGUAAAGCCCUUUUGUUGGGAAAGACAAGCAGCAGGUUAAUACCCCGCUGUUCUGACGGUACCCAAAGAAUAAGCACCGGCUAACUUCGUG